This 406-nucleotide ribosomal RNA is filed under the name uncultured bacterium. Its description in RNAcentral is "partial 16S ribosomal RNA". It matches the Rfam family "Bacterial small subunit ribosomal RNA", at positions 30 to 526 of the family's 1533-position model. The record is from RNAcentral.
AUUGAACGCUGGCGGCAGGCUUAACACAUGCAAGUCGAGCGAGCGGCGGACGGGUGAGUAAUGUCUGGGAAACUGCCUGAUGGAGGGGGCUAACUACUGGAAACUGUAGCUAAUACCGCAUAACAUCAGAUGUGCCCAGAUGGCAUUAGCUAGUAGGUGGGGUAAUGGCUCACCAAGGCGACUAUACCUAACUGGUCUGAUAGGAUGAUCAGCCACACUGGAACUGAGACACGGACCAGAGUCCUACGGGAGGAAGCAGUGGGGAAUAUUGCACAAUGGGCGAAAGCCUGAUGCAGCCAUGCCGCGUGUGUGAAGAAGGCCUUCGGGUUGUAAAGCACUUGCAGCGAGGAGGCGUUACUCGCAGAAGAAGCACCGGCUAACUCCGUGCCAGCAGCCGCGGUAAUAC